RNAcentral lists this transfer RNA (68 nucleotides) under Craspedonirmus immer. Its description in RNAcentral is "tRNA-Gln". The record is from RNAcentral. Lineage: Eukaryota; Metazoa; Arthropoda; Insecta; Psocodea; Philopteridae.
UGGUGUAGAGUUUAUUCAUAACACUAGAAUUUGGAUCUAGAGAAGACAAUCGAGUUUGUCUAUACCAC